This is a non-coding RNA of Gossypium arboreum, 106 nucleotides long. Lineage: Eukaryota; Viridiplantae; Streptophyta; Magnoliopsida; Malvales; Malvaceae. The record is from Rfam.
AUUCCGUGAUAAGGGCAUUUCCAUAAUAGUUCUUUAAACCUUUCCCAUGCCUCAUUCAAGGACUCGCCAUACAUCUAUUAGAAAUUAGUGAUCUCAUUCCGCAACU